AACGAACGCUGGCGGCAUGCCUAACACAUGCAAGUCGAACGAGACCUCCGGGCCUAGUGGCGCACGGGUGCGUAACGCGUGGAAACCUGCCCUUAGGUUCGGAAUCACUCCCAGAAAGGGGUGCUAAUACCGCUUAUUGUCUUCGGACCAAAGAUUUAUCGCCUUUGGAUGGGCACGCGUUGGAUUAGUUAGUUGGUAGGGUAAAAGCAUACCAAGGUGACGAUCCAUUGCUGGGCUGAGAGGAUGAUCAGCAACGCUGGGACUGAGACACGGCCCAGACUCCUACGGGAGGCAGCAGUAGGGAAUAUUGGAGGAUGGGGGAAAGCCUGAUCCAGCAAUGUCGGGGAAGUGAUGAAGGCCUUAGUGUUGUAAAGCUCUUUUAGCCGGGAUGAUAGUGACGGUACCGGGAGAAUAAGCGCCGGCUAACUCCGUG
This 433-nucleotide ribosomal RNA is filed under the name uncultured bacterium. RNAcentral describes it as "partial 16S ribosomal RNA". It matches the Rfam family "Bacterial small subunit ribosomal RNA", at positions 29 to 507 of the family's 1533-position model. The record is from RNAcentral.